This 82-nucleotide transfer RNA is filed under the name Centruroides sculpturatus (bark scorpion). RNAcentral's name for it is "tRNA-Ser". It matches the Rfam family "tRNA". From Rfam's summary of the family: Transfer RNA (tRNA) molecules are approximately 80 nucleotides in length. Their secondary structure includes four short double-helical elements and three loops (D, anti-codon, and T loops). The record is from RNAcentral. Lineage: Eukaryota; Metazoa; Arthropoda; Arachnida; Scorpiones; Buthidae.
GCAGUCGUGGCCGAGUGGUUAAGGUGACGGACUAGAAAUCCGUUGGAAUCUUCCCGCAUAGGUUCGAAUCCUAUCGACUGCG